Molecule: ribosomal RNA, 465 nt
Filed under: Vreelandella stevensii
Lineage: Bacteria; Pseudomonadati; Pseudomonadota; Gammaproteobacteria; Oceanospirillales; Halomonadaceae
Description: partial 16S ribosomal RNA
Rfam family: Bacterial small subunit ribosomal RNA
Source: RNAcentral
CCUACGGGGGGCAGCAGUGGGGAAUAUUGGACAAUGGGGGGAACCCUGAUCCAGCCAUGCCGCGUGUGUGAAGAAGGCCCUCGGGUUGUAAAGCACUUUCAGUGAGGAAGAACGCCUGGUGGUUAAUACCCAUCAGGAAAGACAUCACUCACAGAAGAAGCACCGGCUAACUCCGUGCCAGCAGCCGCGGUAAUACGGAGGGUGCGAGCGUUAAUCGGAAUUACUGGGCGUAAAGCGCGCGUAGGUGGCUUGAUAAGCCGGUUGUGAAAGCCCCGGGCUCAACCUGGGAACGGCAUCCGGAACUGUCAAGCUAGAGUGCAGGAGAGGAAGGUAGAAUUCCCGGUGUAGCGGUGAAAUGCGUAGAGAUCGGGAGGAAUAACAGUGGCGAAGGCGGCCUUCUGGACUGACACUGACACUGAGGUGCGAAAGCGUGGGUAGCAAACAGGAUUAGAUACCCUGGUAGUC